Molecule: long non-coding RNA, 518 nt
Organism: Numida meleagris (helmeted guineafowl)
Lineage: Eukaryota; Metazoa; Chordata; Aves; Galliformes; Numididae
Exons: 2
Source: RefSeq, a predicted model, not a curated record
UGGUAAAAAAAAAAAAAAAAAAAAAAAAUAUCAAGGGAAGGCGAGCAAAUGGUUUGGGAUCUGACAGUCCACUUCACAUCCCUCUCAAAAUCACUUAAGAAGUACCUAAACAGUGGGAGAUUAAGUUUGAGUUUCCCUUGGUGCAUGGCGUGGACCCAAACUUACGUAGAUCGGCUUUAUUGGUAUGCAAGGAAAACAAAUAUGGGAUUGAAAGGGAACGGUGACUGGAGAAGAACGAGGAAAAAAAGAGCAUCGGAUGAGAGCCUGAAGUUAACAGCUUUGCAAGAGCCGCGCAGCUCAUCCAUUUGAUUAGAGUUACGCAAUAUUUAUAGCCCUACCAAAACAGCGACUGUCUGGCACGAUCGGCUCCGCGUGCAAAUUCUGGGCUGAGAACUGGGAUGUCCUGAUAAUUCAGUACGUGAGUACAUCUACUGAAAAUGUUUGCUAUAAUAUUUACUCCCCGUUCUCGGGGUUCUCCGCGAAUAAAUGCCUCCAAAUAGUUUGGACACCUCCUCGCC